AGUGGCGGACGGGUGAGUAACACGUGAGAAUUUGCCUUUAGGAGGGGGAUAACAAUUGGAAACAAAUGCUAAUACCCCAUAUGCUUUUGAGUGAAAUGGAUUUAUCCGCCUAGAGAGAAGCUCGCGGCUGAUUAGCUUGUUGGUAAGGUAAGAGCUUACCAAGGCGACGAUCAGUAUCUGGUUUGAGAGGACGAUCAGACACACUGGAACUGAGACACGGUCCAGACUCCUACGGGAGGCAGCAGUGGGGAAUUUUCCGCAAUGGGCGAAAGCCUGACGGAGCAAUACCGCGUGAGGGAAGACUGCCUAUGGGUUGUAAACCUCUUUUUUCAGGGAGGAAUAAAAUGACGUGUACCUGAAGAAUAAGCAUCGGCUAACUCCGUGCCAGCAGCCGCGGUAAGACGGAGGAUGCAAGUGUUAUCCGGAAUCACUGGGCGUAAAGCGUCUGUAGGUUGUUUAAUAAGUCAACUGUUAAAGCCUGAGGCUCAACUUCAAAAUCGCAGUCGAAACUAUUAGACUAGAGUAUAGUAGAGGUAAAGGGAAUUUCCAGUGGAGCGGUGAAAUGCGUAGAUAUUGGAAAGAACACCGAUUGCGAAAGCACUUUACUGGGCUAUUACUAACACUCAGAGACGAAAGCUAGGGUAGCAAAUGGGAUUAGAUACCCCAGUAGUCCUAGCCGUAAACAAUGGAUACUAGAUGU
This 700-nucleotide ribosomal RNA is filed under the name uncultured bacterium. RNAcentral's name for it is "bacterial SSU rRNA". It matches the Rfam family "Bacterial small subunit ribosomal RNA", at positions 94 to 823 of the family's 1533-position model. The record is from RNAcentral.